Molecule: ribosomal RNA, 498 nt
Filed under: uncultured bacterium
Lineage: Bacteria
Description: SSU rRNA
Rfam family: Bacterial small subunit ribosomal RNA
Source: RNAcentral
AGAUUGAACGCUGGCGGCGUGCUUAACACAUGCAAGUCGAGCGGUAACGCGGGAGCAAUCCUGGCGACGAGCGGCGAACGGGUGAGUAAUGCUUGGGAAUCUGCCCAUUAGUGGGGAACAACCAGCCGAAAGGUUGGCUAAUACCGCAUACGCCCUACGGGGGAAAGCGGGGGAUCGAAAGACCUCGCGCUAAUGGAUGAGCCCAAGUCGGAUUAGCUUGUUGGUAGGGUAACGGCCUACCAAGGCGACAAUCCGUAGCUGGUCUGAGAGGACGACCAGCCACACUGGGACUGAGACACGGCCCAGACUCCUACGGGAGGCAGCAGUGGGGGAAUAUUGGACAAUGGGGGCAACCCUGAUCCAGCGACGCCGCGUGUGUGAAGAAGGCCUGCGGGUUGUAAAGCACUUUUAGUGGGGAUGAAAAGCUCAGGGUUAACACCUCUGGGUCUUGACCUAACCCACAGAAAAAGCACCGGCUAACUCUGCGCCAGCAGCCGC